Molecule: ribosomal RNA, 301 nt
Filed under: uncultured bacterium
Lineage: Bacteria
Description: partial 16S ribosomal RNA
Rfam family: Bacterial small subunit ribosomal RNA
Source: RNAcentral
CAGUAGCCACGGUAAUACGAGGGGUGCAAGCGUUAUUCGGAUUGAUUGGGUGUAAAGGGUGUGCAGACGGCUUAUUAAGUCACUUGUUAAAUUCUUCGGCCUAACUGAAGGUCUGCAAGUGAUACUGAUGAGCUAGAGGGUGGAAGAGAGAAGUGGAAUUCUCGGAGUAGCGGUGAAAUGCGUAGAGAUGUGGAGGAACACCAGUGGCGAAGGCGACUCUCUGGUCUGUAACUGACGCUGAGGAGCGAAAGCGUGGGGAGUGAACAGGAUUAGAUACGCGCGUAGUCCCUGUCUCUUAUAC